This 170-nucleotide ribosomal RNA is filed under the name uncultured eukaryote. RNAcentral's name for it is "partial small subunit ribosomal RNA". It matches the Rfam family "Eukaryotic small subunit ribosomal RNA", at positions 1662 to 1828 of the family's 1831-position model. The record is from RNAcentral.
GUACACACCGCCCGUCGCUACUACCGAUUGGAUCGUUUAGUGAGGUCCACGGACUGUUGUCACUGGUUGGUUCGCCUUCCUUUGGCAUACUGGAAGUGGGACAAACUUGACGAUCUAGAGGAAGUAAAAGUCGUAACAAGGUUUCCGUAGGUGAACCUGCAGAAGGAUCA